RNAcentral lists this ribosomal RNA (253 nucleotides) under uncultured bacterium. RNAcentral's name for it is "partial 16S ribosomal RNA". It matches the Rfam family "Bacterial small subunit ribosomal RNA", at positions 524 to 776 of the family's 1533-position model. The record is from RNAcentral.
GACGUAGGGCGCGAGCGUUGUCCGGAUUUAUUGGGCGUAAAGAGCUCGUAGGCGGUUUGUCGCGUCGUUCGUGAAAACUCCACGCUUAACGUGGAGCGUGCGGGCGAUACGGGCAGACUUGAGUUCGGUAGGGGAGACUGGAAUUCCUGGUGUAGCGGUGAAAUGCGCAGAUAUCAGGAGGAACACCGGUGGCGAAGGCGGGUCUCUGGGCCGAUACUGACGCUGAGGAGCGAAAGCGUGGGGAGCGAACAGG